AGCGCGAGAUGCCCGUGCCUCUGCUAGACAUUGUCAUGAACCAACUUCUCAAGGAACAUGUCGGGAACCUGCCCGAGCUGUGCAUGGGCUACCUUGUGAAGAGAACCCCGAUGAUGACCUAUAUGAUGUACGACAGCAUGGCCAGGAAACUGCAUCACAACCAUGUCCUAGUGGUGCAACUGGUACAGCUGCUUCCUCACUAGACCAGGAGGCUGCAGAAGCCC
Long non-coding RNA from Rhipicephalus sanguineus (brown dog tick), 224 nucleotides. RefSeq lists it as uncharacterized. Lineage: Eukaryota; Metazoa; Arthropoda; Arachnida; Ixodida; Ixodidae. The record is from RefSeq and is a predicted model, not a curated record. The transcript has 3 exons.